UAGGGAAUAUUGGUCAAUGGAUGCAAGUCUGAACCAGCCAUGCCGCGUGCAGGAAGAAGGCCUUCUGGGUUGUAAACUGCUUUUGUCAGGGGAUAAAAUGAGCGUGCGCGCUUAAUUGAAGGUACCUGGCGAAUAAGCCACGGCUAACUACGUGCCAGCAGCCGCGGUAAUACGUAGGUGGCAAGCGUUGUCCGGAUUUAUUGGGUUUAAAGGGUGCGUAGGCGGUUAUAUAAGUCAGUGCUGAAAUAUCCCAGCUUAACUGGGAGGGUGGCAUUGAUACUGUAUGACUUGAGUAGAGUUGAGGUUGGCGGAAUUGACGGUGUAGCGGUGAAAUGCUUAGAUAUCGUCAAGAACACCGAUAGUGAAGACAGCUAACUAAGCUCUAACUGACGCUGAGGCACGAAAGUGUGGGGAUCAAACAGGAUUAGAUACCCUGGUAGUCCACGCUGUAAACGAUGGGUGCUCGGUGUCGCGGGUAUCGACCCCUGCGGUGCC
RNAcentral lists this ribosomal RNA (495 nucleotides) under uncultured bacterium. Its description in RNAcentral is "bacterial SSU rRNA". It matches the Rfam family "Bacterial small subunit ribosomal RNA", at positions 355 to 847 of the family's 1533-position model. The record is from RNAcentral.